This 2499-nucleotide ribosomal RNA is filed under the name Clostridioides difficile. RNAcentral's name for it is "partial 23S ribosomal RNA". It matches the Rfam family "Bacterial large subunit ribosomal RNA", at positions 403 to 2925 of the family's 2925-position model. The record is from RNAcentral. RNAcentral also lists the same sequence under 1 other name. Lineage: Bacteria; Bacillati; Bacillota; Clostridia; Peptostreptococcales; Peptostreptococcaceae.
UGAUCCAGAGUACCACGGGACACGUGAAACCCUGUGGGAAGCAGGAGGGACCACCCUCCAAGGCUAAAUACUACCUAGUGACCGAUAGCGUAUAGUACCGUGAGGGAAAGGUGAAAAGAACCCCGGGAGGGGAGUGAAAUAGAACCUGAAACCCUGCACUUACAAGCUGUGGAAGCACAUUUCUUGUGUGACCGCGUACUUUUUGUAGAACGGGCCAACGAGUUACGUUAAGUAGCAAGGUUAAGCACUUAAGGUGCGGAGCCGUAGCGAAAGCGAGUUUUAACUGAGCGUUCAGUUACUUGACGUAGACCCGAAACCGGGCGACCUACCCAUGAGCAGGAUGAAGCGAAAGUAAAAUUUCGUGGAGGUCCGAACCCACGAGCGUUGAAAAGCUCGGGGAUGACUUGUGGGUAGCGGUGAAAUUCCAAUCGAGCCCGGAGAUAGCUGGUUCUCCCCGAAAUAGCUUUAGGGCUAGCCUCAAGGUGAGAGAUACGGAGGUAGAGCACUGAAUGUCCUAGGGGGUAUUGCACCUACCGAAGACUAUCAAACUCCGAAUGCCGUCAUCUUAUACUUGGGAGUCAGACUGUGGGUGAUAAGAUUCAUAGUCGAAAGGGCAACAGCCCAGAUCGUCAGCUAAGGUCCCUAAAUGUAAGUUAAGUGGUAAAGGAUGUGGGAUUGCACAGACAACCAGGAUGUUGGCUUAGAAGCAGCCACUCAUUCAAAGAGUGCGUAAUAGCUCACUGGUCGAGUGAUCCUGCGCCGAAGAUUUCCGGGGCUAAAACUUACUACCGAAGCUACGGCAUCAGUAAUGAUGGGUAGGGGAGCUUCCCAUACGGGUUGAAGCAUGACCGUAAGGACAUGUGGACAGUAUGGGAGUGAGAAUGUUGGCAUGAGUAGCGAGAUGUGGGUGAGAAUCCCACAGGCCGUAAACCCAAGGUUUCCAGGGGAAGGUUCGUCCGCCCUGGGUUAGUCGGGACCUAAGCUGAGGCCGAAAGGCGUAGGUGAUGGACAACAGGUUGAUAUUCCUGUACUACCGAUAACCGUUUGAGAGAAGGGAUGACACAGUAGGAUAAGCUAAGCACACUGUUGGUUAUGUGUGCCCAAGCAUUGAGGCAGUCAAAGUAGGCAAAUCCGCUUUGAUAAUGCUGGGAUGUGAUGGGGAGCGAAAUUUAGUAGCGAAGUAGCUGAUUUCACACUGUCAAGAAAAGUCUCUAUCGAGGUUAAAGGUACCCGUACCGCAAACCGACACAGGUGGGUGAGGAGAGUAUCCUAAGGCCAGCGAGAGAACUGUUGUUAAGGAACUCGGCAAAAUGACCCCGUAACUUAGGGAUAAGGGGUGCCACCAUCAGGUGGCCGCAGAGAAUAGGCCCAAGCGACUGUUUACCAAAAACAUAGGUUUCUGCUAAGUCGCAAGACGAUGUAUAGGAGCUGACGCCUGCCCGGUGCUGGAAGGUUAAGGGGAUCUGUUAGAGCAAUCGAAGCAGUGAACUUAAGCCCCAGUAAACGGCGGCCGUAACUAUAACGGUCCUAAGGUAGCGAAAUUCCUUGUCGGGUAAGUUCCGACCCGCACGAAAGGCGUAACGAUUUGGGCACUGUCUCAACAACAGACUCGGUGAAAUUGUAAUUCCGGUGAAGAUGCCGGAUACCUGCGACAGGACGGAAAGACCCCAUGGAGCUUUACUGUAGCUUGACAUUGGGUCUUGGUACUACAUGUACAGGAUAGGUGGGAGGCUUUGAAACCAGGACGCCAGUUUUGGCGGAGCCAUCCUUGGGAUACCACCCUUGUAGUACUGGGACUCUAACCAUAGGCCAUGAAUCUGGUCUUGGGACACUGUCAGGUGGGCAGUUUGACUGGGGCGGUCGCCUCCCAAAAGGUAACGGAGGCGCUCAAAGGUUCUCUCAGUACGGUCGGAAAUCGUACGUAGAGUGUAAAGGCAAAAGAGAGCUUGAUUGCAAGACAUACAGGUCGAGCAAGGAUGAAAAUCGGACUUAGUGAUCCGGUGGUUCUGCGUGGAAGGGCCAUCGCUCAACGGAUAAAAGCUACCCUGGGGAUAACAGGCUUAUCUCCCCCAAGAGUCCACAUCGACGGGGAGGUUUGGCACCUCGAUGUCGGCUCAUCACAUCCUGGGGCUGUAGUAGGUCCCAAGGGUUGGGCUGUUCGCCCAUUAAAGUGGUACGCGAGCUGGGUUCAGAACGUCGUGAGACAGUUCGGUCCCUAUCCGUCGCAGGCGUAGGAAAUUUGAGAAGACCUGUCCUUAGUACGAGAGGACCGGGAUGGACGUACCUCUGGUGUACCAGUUGUCCUGCCAAGGGCAUGGCUGGGUAGCUAUGUACGGAAUGGAUAAGCGCUGAAAGCAUCUAAGCGCGAAGCCAACUUCAAGAUAAGAUUUCCCACCGCAAGGGUAAGACCCCAGAAAGACUAUCUGGUUGAUAGGUCGAAGGUGUAAGUGCAGCAAUGUAUUUAGCUUAUCGAUACUAAUAGGUCGAGGACUUGACCAA